This is a long non-coding RNA of Clupea harengus (Atlantic herring), 1700 nucleotides long. The record is from Ensembl. Lineage: Eukaryota; Metazoa; Chordata; Actinopteri; Clupeiformes; Clupeidae.
UUCGGGUCUUUUUAGUUAAAGUUAACAAAAUAGCAAGUACACUUUUCAUGUUCUCUUUUAACAUCAGGUAUACUCACCCUUAUAAUAGCAACCUUGCGAGCACACUGUAUACCCCAAAAGCUCUCUCCCCAGCAUAUCCUCUACCAAUUUUGUAUGCAACAUGUAUAUACCAUGAUAUGUUUGUGUGUAUUAUGUACAUUUACCACAUGUAUGCUAGCAUGCUCAUCCUGAUACGUGAUUUAUUCUGGCAUGUUCCUGAUGGUUUCCCCUCCCCUUCUGCCACAAGCAGAAUGACAAUUGUAAUGGUGAAGUAGCACCAGCAGGCCUCAGCUGAAGCCCGUUUGUCAAUUAAGCAGUGAACCCCUUGAGCCAAUAAAAGCUCAGUUCUGCUUUUUUUUUUUUUUUUUUUUUUAAGUUUUUGUGAGAGCUGUGACAUAUACCAAGAUGGUCGGGUAAGUGUUUUGAUUUGUAAUAAGUGAUUAACUAAAUUAUAUUUGGUUUCAUGUCAAUGAGCGUUUCCUUUUGUGCUUGCAGGUUUUCACUUUACCUUUUGCUGGUGGUUGCUGUCUGCUGUCAGGCCUAUCGAGUUGGUAUGUAUCUGUUUGGUAUCUCUUAAGAAACGAGUUUGAGCAAAGCAAAAAUGUUAACUGGAACUUGUACUUUUUCUCGAUUAUCUAGCUAGGAAAUUUCGGCCAAGAUACCAUCUAAGGAGUCGGUGGCUUAGGUCACAUGGCGGCCCUGAUUCUGCUACAGAAGACUUUAGCCCAACCCAAAGUGAGGAAGCCCCAAGUCAUUAUGCACCUGUUGAGGAAUAUCUCCCGGAAAGCCAAAAGAGUAUGCAGCAGGCGCAGACAAACGAGAUGAAGCUUUCCCAGGCCCCAGCUCCAGUGUGGGAGAAUCAAGUGAAGCCCUCACUCCCUGCCCAGACAAGCCGGGAGUGGGCUCCUGCUGAUGGUCCAUCAGGGUCAACCCCUGAACGCUUCGUCACGAUCACUACGCCGUCAGGUUUUCGAACUCGCUACAUAGUGAAGUCUUUCAACCGUUAUGCGGUUGGGAUUUUGGAGUUUUCCCAGACCACCUACAUCCCCCUUGGACGUGCCUUCCCCUGGAUUCCUGGUACAGCUCCUGUUCCUACCUCUCCGCAUGAAGCCCAAACUGAAGAGCUCCUCUACGGAAGGUAGUUCAAGGUUCUUUUCAUUUUUUUUUUUUUUAUGAAGGGUUGGCAUAAGUUUUGAGUGGUUCAACUUCCUUCUCCCUACAGGAAGGCUUAGGAUUUGAGGAGUGGACAUUUCUGUGCCAUGGAUGUCUGUCUUCAUAUUUGAGUGGAUUAAAUUAACUUUGCCCUGGUUACUGAUGUAAAUGCUGUGUAUUUAUUUAUUUAUUUAUUUAUUUAUUUUCCCCUCCCAGGCUCAUCUGGAUGUCUAGCUUUCACAGUAAAUUUUGGCUUAAUAAAGGUUUCCUUUAUCCUGUACAUUGCUGUUGUCUCCUCAAAUUGAAUCUCUCAAAUAAUUUACCUGGACCUUUUUGUUAAGUAAGUGUGUGUGUGUGUGUGUGUGUGUGUGUGUCUUUAAAUCAGAAGAUAUUGGCCAGUCAUUAUGGGCCAUCACUUUUGAAAUCAAAUUUGAUUGAUGUGCAACUUUGAAACAGUGUGACUAAUCAAAUCCCAGUGAGACUUGCCUUUCAUGUUACAGAUUCACUCC